Molecule: ribosomal RNA, 253 nt
Filed under: uncultured bacterium
Lineage: Bacteria
Description: partial 16S ribosomal RNA
Rfam family: Bacterial small subunit ribosomal RNA
Source: RNAcentral
UACGGAGGGUGCGAACGUUAAUCGGAAUCACUGGGCGUAAAGCGCGCGUAGGCGGUUCGUUAAGUGGGAUGUGAAAUCCCCGGGCUUAACCUGGGAAUUGCAUUUCAAACUGGCCGACUAGAGUACGGUAGAGGGAGGUAGAAUUUCCUGUGUAGCGGUGAAAUGCGUAGAUAUAGGAAGGAAUACCAGUGGCGAAGGCGGCCGCCUGGAUCGAUACUGACGCUGAGGCGCGAAAGCUAGGGGAGCAAACGGG